AACACCCACAAACAACGUCACGACGCAACGUGGUUAAACAGUACGUUUAUUAAAGUAACUGGGUGAACGACACCGGAGCGGACUGAAAAUCGCAACGCUACUUUCUCGAGUGCAGAUACUCUUCGAGACGGCUAAACAACGUGUCCAACUCGCUGAGACCUUUCCGCGUGCCGUUAUCCGAUUUCCUUUCCGCCUCCUGAGACAGUCGACUAAUCACGGACUUAUCUCCGCAACCUAACAGAGGCUGGGAGCCCGACAAAAGUAAAACAGCGUGCUAUGAACACGUUGUUACCUCUGCGCGGACAGCGCCGCCACAGAGACACUUACGCAUUGCCGCAUGUCUUUGUAGAUGGAUUCUAGCGUCGAGCGCAUACUAUGCAAUUCCGUCUUGAGUCCGGGAUAGACGUGGUCGCCUGCGGGAAACACGAUCUCCAGAUACCGCCUCAACAACCAGUCCAUGACGCUGCAUCCCCAACAGCCUUUGACCACCGUACCGUCGAGCCACACGGAGUAGUCGUCCUCACGUUGCUACAAGAGGAAAACUACGUCACCCGACACGCGGAAAAGAAAGACCGUCGCAAUAAACCGUACCUACGUGACCUACCAACGUAGGUUUUACUCGAUGAAAGGUGACGCGGAGAUCUUGCAAUCUGGUCGCGUAAUCCUCUGGACGACACCGCGGCUUUGUAUUCUUUAUCGUCGUCGUCGCCGACUUCGCCUCCUCGGAAGCGCCUAGAAAAAAGACGAUCAGAACCAGAGAGGAAGAGACCAUCACCGACAGCAUCGCCGCAGCAUGCCGCCCCAGUCCGCCGCCCAACUGCGCGUCCCAGGUAGGUGUCGUAGACUGUCAGCCUCGCGAGGAGACACCGCGGACCGGGGAAACGGAUAAGUUUACGAACAGAAAUCUCAAGAGAAAGACGCUGACCCGGCAAGUACCGUCACGGAGACACGGUGGUUUUUAUUGAAUUUCCAGUGUAUCGAGCCACCGUGAUGCAGGUACGGUGGUUUUAUGUGAAGUGCCGCUAUCUAUAGGCGAUGUGUUCCCUGACGGUGUGUGUUUUUUUUGGGGAUAGACAACGUGGUUCUUGUACGUGGUUUUUACCCUGCUCAAUAAAGUCACGUUUUCCUUACACGGUGUUGUGUC
RNAcentral lists this small RNA (1144 nucleotides) under Human betaherpesvirus 5. RNAcentral describes it as "RNA5.0". Lineage: Duplodnaviria; Heunggongvirae; Peploviricota; Herviviricetes; Herpesvirales; Orthoherpesviridae. The record is from RNAcentral.